UGAUGUGAGUGGACCUGGCCACAGGCUGAUCCAGCUGGCUAGGCAGGUGCCUCCUCCCUCCCUCACUGCUCCCGUGGUGUGCACCCCUCCUAAAGCUUCCUACACAGUCUCAGAGGGUGGCCUACCCUGAGAGAGGAAAAGCUGUCUUUGGUCAAGAGUACAAGAGUAACUGUGCUCCCCUGCUAGGACCUUCAGACAAGCUGGAAAAGUCCACGUGUGAAGCAGCGUAGGGUAGCCAAGCUUCCAGGGCUCCAGCAGAUGAGGCAUUGCCUGUGGCACUGUGCCUUAAAAC
RNAcentral lists this small nuclear RNA (292 nucleotides) under Neotoma lepida (desert woodrat). Its description in RNAcentral is "7SK RNA". It matches the Rfam family "7SK RNA", at positions 54 to 331 of the family's 331-position model. From Rfam's summary of the family: 7SK was discovered as an abundant small nuclear RNA in the mid-70s but a possible function has only recently been suggested. Two independent studies have found that 7SK RNA binds the CDK9/cyclin T complex (known as elongation factor P-TEFb). The record is from Rfam by way of RNAcentral. Lineage: Eukaryota; Metazoa; Chordata; Mammalia; Rodentia; Cricetidae.